This 183-nucleotide ribosomal RNA is filed under the name uncultured Staphylococcus sp. Its description in RNAcentral is "partial 16S ribosomal RNA". It matches the Rfam family "Bacterial small subunit ribosomal RNA", at positions 157 to 334 of the family's 1533-position model. Lineage: Bacteria; Bacillati; Bacillota; Bacilli; Caryophanales; Staphylococcaceae. The record is from RNAcentral.
ACCGAGCUAAUACCGGAUAAUAUAUUGAACCGCAUGGUUCAAUAGUGAAAGACGGUUUUGCUGUCACUUAUAGAUGGAUCCGCGCCGCAUUAGCUAGUUGGUAAGGUAACGGCUUACCAAGGCAACGAUGCGUAGCCGACCUGAGAGGGUGAUCGGCCACACUGGAACUGAGACACGGUCCAG